CCUACGGGCGGCAGCAGUGAGGAAUAUUGGUCAAUGGCCGGAAGGCUGAACCAGCCAUGCCGCGUGAAGGUCAGUGCCCUAUGGGCGUUAAACUUCUUUUGUGCAGGAGCAAUACUGGUAACGUGUGGCCAGACGAGAGUACCGUACGAAUAAGCAUCGGCUAACUCCGUGCCAGCAGCCGCGGUAAUACGGGAGAUGCAAGCGUUAUCCGGAUUUAUUGGGUUUAAAGGGUGCGUAGGCUGUGAGGUAAGUCAGCGGUGAAAUGCCCCCGCUCAACGGGGUGAAGUGCCAUUGAUACUGCCUUGCUGGAAUGCGGAUGCCGUGGGAGGAAUGUGUGGUGUAGCGGUGAAAUGCAUAGAUAUCACACAGAACACCGAUUGCGAAGGCAGCUCACGAAUCCGCGAUUGACGCUGAUGCACGAAAGCGUGGGUAUCAAACAGGAUUAGAUACCCUAGUAGUC
This 460-nucleotide ribosomal RNA is filed under the name uncultured bacterium. RNAcentral describes it as "partial 16S ribosomal RNA". It matches the Rfam family "Bacterial small subunit ribosomal RNA", at positions 338 to 795 of the family's 1533-position model. The record is from RNAcentral.